RNAcentral lists this long non-coding RNA (581 nucleotides) under Cyanistes caeruleus (blue tit). Its description in RNAcentral is "lncRNA (ENSCCEG00000003235.1)". Lineage: Eukaryota; Metazoa; Chordata; Aves; Passeriformes; Paridae. The record is from RNAcentral.
AGAACAACAGAGCUUGAGAGACAGAGUACAGAGGGCAGAGUCUGAGCCAGGAGAGGGUGCAAAGAUCAGUGGAGGCAAAUAUGCACCAACACAGACUCAUGUGGACAUAACAGAAACUGCAAUUAUGGAGAUACCUCUUUAUUUCUUCUAGUAGAUACAAGACUCGCACUGCAUCCGAGGAGAAGACCAGAAUGGACUGGUUUGGCUUCGAGCAACUGCAAUCAGUUGCCUCACAGAGGGUUUCCUUGAUGCUGAAUUUGCUGUUUGCAAAUGCCCAGAAAUCUGCUGCUGAAAGGAGGAACAUUAUCCCUUUGCUGUAUGGCUCAAGAAGUUCUUACAAGAAGAGAGACAGCAAGGACAUGGAGUCUGCUGGAUUCCAGGAGAAAAGGUCUGCAGGGCUCCUGGAGGGAAAAUUACCAGGCAGGUAUUUAUGAGAAAAGGUGAUCUGGUUGAAUUCAAGACUGUAUUACAAACUAUGUGCUUAUCUGGUGUCAGUUGUCAGUUUCAUUGAAUUAAUUGGAGCAAUGCUGAUUUAUAACUGAGGCUUUAGACAAUUCUACAUAAACAGCUCUAAUGAUGCC